RNAcentral lists this ribosomal RNA (468 nucleotides) under uncultured bacterium. Its description in RNAcentral is "bacterial SSU rRNA". It matches the Rfam family "Bacterial small subunit ribosomal RNA", at positions 355 to 825 of the family's 1533-position model. The record is from RNAcentral.
UAGGGAAUAUUGGACAAUGGGCGCAAGCCUGAUCCAGCCAUGCCGCGUGCAGGAUGACGGUCCUAUGGAUUGUAAACUGCUUUUUGUACAGGAAGAAACAGUUCUACGUGUAGAACCUUGACGGUACUGUAAGAAUAAGGAUCGGCUAACUCCGUGCCAGCAGCCGCGGUAAUACGGAGGAUCCAAGCGUUAUCCGGAAUCAUUGGGUUUAAAGGGUCCGUAGGCGGUUAGAUAAGUCAGUGGUGAAAGCCCAUCGCUCAACGGUGGAACGGCCAUUGAUACUGUCUGACUUGAAUUAUUAGGAAGUAACUAGAAUAUGUAGUGUAGCGGUGAAAUGCUUAGAGAUUACAUGGAAUACCAAUUGCGAAGGCAGGUUACUACUAAUGGAUUGACGCUGAUGGACGAAAGCGUGGGUAGCGAACAGGAUUAGAUACCCAAGUAGUCCCUGAGCGGGCUGGCAAGGCGCAU